Molecule: ribosomal RNA, 458 nt
Filed under: uncultured bacterium
Lineage: Bacteria
Description: bacterial SSU rRNA
Rfam family: Bacterial small subunit ribosomal RNA
Source: RNAcentral
GAUGAACGCUGGCGGCGUGCCUAACACAUGCAAGUCGAACGAACCUGAUCUUCGGAAAGGGUUAGUGGCGGAUGGGUGAGUAACACGUAGGUGACCUACCUUGGCGGAGGGGGAUAACUGCUGGAAACGGUAGCUAAUACCCCGUACGAUCACCGGAUCGGACUGGUGAUGAAAGGCGAAAGCCGUGCUGGGAGGGGCCUGCGGCCCAUCAGGUAGUUGGUGGGGUAACGGCCUACCAAGCCGAUGACGGGUAGCUGGUCUGAGAGGAUGGUCAGCCACACUGGAACUGAAACACGGUCCAGACUCCUACGGGAGGCAGCAGUGAGGAAUAUUGCGCAAUGGGCGAAAGCCUGACGCAGCAACGCCGCGUGGGUGAAGAAGGCCUUCGGGUCGUAAAGCCCUUUUCUGAGGGAAGAGGAAGGACGGUACCUCAGGAAUAAGUCUCGGCUAACUACGUG